CUACGGGGCGCUGCAGUGGGGAAUAUUGCACAAUGGACGAAAGUCUGAUGCAGCAACGCCGCGUGGAGGAUGACACUUUUCGGAGCGUAAACUCCUUUUAUAUAGGAAGAUAAUGACGGUACUAUAUGAAUAAGCACCGGCUAACUCCGUGCCAGCAGCCGCGGUAAUACGGAGGGUGCAAGCGUUACUCGGAAUCACUGGGCGUAAAGAGCGUGUAGGCGGAUAGAUAAGUCAGGAGUGAAAUCCUAUGGCUCAACCAUAGAACUGCUCUUGAAACUGUCUAUCUAGAAUAUGGGAGAGGUAGAUGGAAUUUCUGGGGUAGGGGUAAAAUCCGUAGAGAUCAGAAGGAAUACCGAUUGCGAAGGCGAUCUACUGGAACAUUAUUGACGCUGAGACGCGAAAGCGUGGGGAGCAAACAGGAUUAGAUACCCGUGUAGUC
Molecule: ribosomal RNA, 439 nt
Filed under: uncultured bacterium
Lineage: Bacteria
Description: partial 16S ribosomal RNA
Rfam family: Bacterial small subunit ribosomal RNA
Source: RNAcentral